UUCCCAGAAGCCUCAGGGAGAGGCCCCCUCAGGUCACGUCUCAUUGGCCAGAACUGGGUCACAUGUUCAUACCUGAACUCACUGGCAGAGAAGAGGGACUUUCGAAGACAAAAACCUUCGAGUAAUCACUUUGAGCCAGUGGCAUUAAAAAAAGGAAGAAAAUUAUCUGGAAAGAACAAAAAACAGUGGGAUUCCUCAAAGAAUGUAAAUCAACGAGUCCUUUUGGCCCAGAACCCCAUUAACCAUUCCGGGCCCUCAGUGACGCGGACAAGUAGCCCCGCCCAGCCCCUGAGUCGGGACGGCACCACCCCAUAAGGGGACCCAUCUUCAUUAACUGAGACCUGUUUUGCACAUGCAAGAAAGAAAACGCAAACAGCAUCUUACCAAAAGAGAUGGUUAGAGAGGCCUCCAGACCAGCUGCUAAUCCACACAGGCUCCCAUUGUCUGUCACCUCCAGGCAAUUAGGAAUUGGGUGCAAGUCCUGCCUGGGUUGCUUCAUUGAAACUGAUUUAUCUAGAGUCCUCAGGACACCAGGUUGAGAUACUUGGCAGUCCAAGGUCGUGUGUGCUGAGCGACUAAGGCCUGGGCAGUCCAGAACGCAGCGAGUGCCGAGCAACGGGCUCCCCCAGACCGUCCCCUGCCCUUUUCUCUCCCCAAGGGCUUCCUUCACCCAACAGGCAUUCAGUCAUUAGUCACGGGCAAAACGUUCAGCAAGUUCUGGGGGCGCAAAACUUCUCCAGGAGCUCAGAGCCCGGCAGGGGUAAAACUGGGGGCAGGAAACUGCCUGAAAGGGCUGACCGAGGGCCAUAGAGGCUGGGAGGGCUCAGGGCCCAGAGGGCUCCUGGGGAGCGUGGGGCUCCUACACACCCUGCACGCCUGUGUCCUGAAUCCUCGCCUCCCAGGGAGGCCCGGCCUAUUCCACAGAAGCUUUUCACCCCCAGAGCUUGCAGGGUUGCAAAGGCCGUGCUUGCCAUGGGGAUGGGUUUUGCCCUUGUGUUCACUCCAGGACUUGAGAAGAGGCGAAGGUUGCAGCUCAGGAGUGCCGGGGAGUGGGGAAAAGCAGGGAGGUCACCCCGACAGGCUCGAAGAAAGUGGGUCACUGGCCACAAUGAGCACUGAGGAGGUUCAGCUCUGGAGCAGCGGUUGAAGCUCAAGAGAAAUCCAGAAACAGCAGAGAGGGUCACCGUGGCCAGCCCAUCUCGAAUAACCAUCAGGGUCCCAGAGAACCGCCUGUCACCAGGCCUCACUCUCCAGCACUGAAUAAAGCCUGCCCCUUUCCCCAGCCUGGCAGCUGGCACCUGCUGCCGAGUUCGGCUGUACGAGGUCGCCAGUGUGGUGGCUCUGCCCCUAGCAAUGCAGCCCUGUUUGAUCUCGAGCACUUUCGUCACUCAUUGAAAUGACAGAGGGAAGUGGAGGACACGGGGGGCCACCCGGGCACUGGCCCGGGAGAGAGGGGCUCCGGGUCAGUGGAGAGAGGGCGCGCUGGCAUGAGGCUUAAUUCACCAAGCAUUGUGUUCCUUCCAAAGCCCCAGCAUGUUGGAAUACAAACAAGGCCACGGGGCAGGGCCCCAGCUGGCAGAGGAGCAGGGACAGUGGCCCCUCUGGACAGGCGCGAGGCCACCCCUGGCUCUCAGAGGAGGCCUUGCACCCCAGACAGGCUCUGUGAAGUCAGAUCUGGCAGCGAGCGGCACGUGAGCUUUGUCCAGGAGGGUGAGCGGCAAAAAUAGGUCUCCACUGUGAAGCGGAAAUCAUGACUACAAUGACAUAAAAACGAAGGGUCUACACCACAGACCAAGGCUUUGCCAAGCGUGUUCCUCAUAGGCUACAAAGCUGAUGUUCAGUCAGUCAAGAGAGGUCAACACUGGACUGAACAAAGUGGAACUCCUUUCUUGUCUGCAGGACUUCUCAGGGCCUUUUACUAUGUGAAUUUCAGGAAAUGCAAGGUUUCCCAGCCUUAGUUGGCCACUCAAUCCUCUCUCCUGAUAUUGAUGCUCUGCUUUAGGAAAUGCCAUGGGUGAGGGGUGUGGAGGGCUGAGACCCCACACUGGGUGGCACGGUACCCAGGCAGGGAGCCCAGAAAGACUGCUCGGGUAUGGCUUUGACAUCUCUUCUCCGGGGGUCUUGCACUGACCUUGGUGGUUUGGAGAGGAAGAAUGGAGAGAAAGCCACGUGGAGCACCUGAUGCGGGCACACGCUCCGCAAUCUCAGCCCCUCGGAGCCCCCCCCCAGGGUGGUUGUGCAGAUGGAGCACACACUGAGCCCCCACCCCCACCCCAGCCUCACGCUCACCCCCGAUUUGCGUGCAGCUCUGGUCACUACCUCCGUGCGCUUUGCCAGUGCCCCACCACGAGCACGCACGGUGGGGUCUCCACACACCGCUGCCGUGGGGAGCUCUCUGCAGCUCCAGAAGCUGCUUUGCCCUCGAGCAGGUGCAGCCCAGAGCAUGGGAGGUGGCAUCCCUGGAGACAGCCAUCAACCGAGAGGAGUCCCAGCCUGCUGUCCUUUGAGGGAACAUCCCGAGGCAUGUCCUGCAUGCUUCCCUGGAGUCCCCAGAGAGAUGGCACCCCAGCUGCCUGCAGUGGUGGCCAGCCGGGCGAAGCCCCUCUCCUGACUUUAUCCCUUCUCUCCUCACUUGCCCAAUCCAUCCUUCUGAUUCCUGGGGUCACCUUCCAAAUAAAUUCUCUGCACCUGA
Molecule: non-coding RNA, 2692 nt
Organism: Microcebus murinus (gray mouse lemur)
Lineage: Eukaryota; Metazoa; Chordata; Mammalia; Primates; Cheirogaleidae
Source: RefSeq, a predicted model, not a curated record